RNAcentral lists this ribosomal RNA (268 nucleotides) under uncultured bacterium. Its description in RNAcentral is "partial 16S ribosomal RNA". It matches the Rfam family "Bacterial small subunit ribosomal RNA", at positions 530 to 796 of the family's 1533-position model. The record is from RNAcentral.
GGUGGCAAGCGUUGUUCGGAAUUACUGGGCGUAAAGGGCGCGUAGGCGGUCACAUUAAGUCGAAUGUAAAAUACCAAGGCUUAACCUUGGCAGGUCGUUCGAUACUGGUGGACUAGAAUGUGGAAGGGGUUGCUGGAAUUCCUGGUGUAGCGGUGAAAUGCGUAGAUAUCAGGAGGAACACCGGAGGCGAAGGCGGGCAACUGGGCCAACAUUGACGCUGAGGCGCGAAAGCUAGGGGAGCAAACAGGAUUAGAUACCCUUGUAGUCC